This 484-nucleotide ribosomal RNA is filed under the name uncultured bacterium. RNAcentral's name for it is "partial 16S ribosomal RNA". It matches the Rfam family "Bacterial small subunit ribosomal RNA", at positions 28 to 523 of the family's 1533-position model. The record is from RNAcentral.
GACGAAUGCUGGCGGCGUGCUUAACACAUGCAAGUCGAACGAUGAAGCUGGAGCUUGCUCUGGCGGAUUAGUGGCGAACGGGUGAGUAACACGUGAGAAAUCUGCCCUUGACUCUGGGAUAACUGCGGGAAACUGUAGCUAAUACCGGAUACUUUCCCUGGUGGGCAUCCACUGGGGAAGAAAGAAUUUCGGUCAAGGAUGAUCUCGCGGCCUAUCAGCUUGUUGGUGAGGUAAUGGCUCACCAAGGCGACGACGGGUAGCCGGCCUGAGAGGGGGACCGGCCACACUGGGACUGAGACACGGCCCAGACUCCUACGGGAGGCAGCAGUGGGGAAUAUUGCACAAUGGGCGCAAGCCUGAUGCAGCAACGCCGCGUGAGGGAUGAAGGCCUUCGGGUUGUAAACCUCUUUUAGCAGGGAAGAAGCGAAAGUGACGGUACCUGCAGAAAAAGCACCGGCUAACUACGUGCCAGCCGCCGCGGUAA